Molecule: ribosomal RNA, 253 nt
Filed under: uncultured bacterium
Lineage: Bacteria
Description: partial 16S ribosomal RNA
Rfam family: Bacterial small subunit ribosomal RNA
Source: RNAcentral
UACAGAGGGUGCAAGCGUUAAUCGGAAUUACUGGGCGUAAAGCGUGCGUAGACGGUUAUGUAAGUCGGGUGUGAAAGCCCCGGGCUCAACCUGGGAAUGCCAUUCGAGACUGCAUAGCUAGGGUGCGGAAGAGGGAAGCGGAAUUUCCGGUGUAGCGGUGAAAUGCGUAGAUAUCGGAAGGAACACCAGUGGCGAAAGCGGCUUCCUGGACCAGAACUGACGAUCAGGCUCGAAAGCGUGGGGAGCAAACAGG